ACGAUGCUGGCCCCAUGCACGACUGAUGAUGCGGCGCCAGCACGGCCGGAGGUAGAGAAGACGAAAAUCGACCUCUGCAUUUGCUGCGGCGAUUUUCAGGUAUGCCACACAGCUCUGAUUUUGUGUUUCCUUCUGAUCGGUUUAUUAAAUUCAAACAUCAUUACCGCUUAUUGCCAUUUCUAAUUCCGCUAUGUCUAGAACUCGCAUGCAUUGCUCACUGGAAAUUGAGGAAGGUUAGUGUAAGGAGAGGCGAAAGAAUCCUUAUUUCUAUACUUUUUCGAUUUCUCUCAUCCAGACGAAUGAUGUGAUAUAAAUAUUCGACCUAAAUAUUAGAAAAAAUUAAGAGAAAACAACCUAAAAGACCAUGCCAAAAAGUCAAGAAAAUAUAAGGCCAAAGGGGCCCUAAGCACCACAGAGCUAAUUUCGCUAUGUGUGGAACUCGCACACGUUGCUCACUAGAAAAUUGAGGGAAGGUUAGUGUAAGGAGAGGCAACAAGGGUCUCUAUUUUUUUUACUUUUUUGAUUCCUCUCAUCGAUCGAGACGAACAAUAUGUUGUAAAGAUUUGACCCAAAUCUAAGUACUCCUUCUGUCCCGAAUUGUCUACCCCGAAUUGUCUACACGGUCCGCAAAAGGAGGACUUCGAAACAUCAUAUUUUUUCAACCAAAAAUUCCAAAAUAAUUCCAUAAAUCGAUCGAACUCAUUGAUACCUAUUAAAUGUCGUAAUUUUUUUUGAAUUUUCCUUAUGAAAAUUGUAUUAUUUUUAUUUCAUUUUACAAACCCAGCAAAGGUUUUGAGGCGGACUAAAAAUUAAGAGAAAACAACCCAAAAGACCGUACCACAAAGUCUGGAAAAUAUAGGGGCGAAGGGGCCCUAAGUACCACAUUACCUAAAUUCCUGUACCUGCUCAUGGCUUCUCUCCGCAUUUUCCAUAUUAAAGCAACAAGCGUGCGCUCAAAAUACCUUUGUAAGUUUUUCAACACCCGAAUCCCCUACUGAGAAAUCUACCAUUAUUUAGUAUUUUGUGUUCAUCUAACUUGAAGAUGUUCAACCAUUAUACAAGUCUCUUGCAAGAGUUCUCCAUGGAAUAGUUUCUGUAAGGUGCAUAAUCUAUCUUGGUGACCAACUUGUGCUGGUUAGACCUUAAAAUAAGUAAUUGAAUUGUCUAAUGCAAAACAUGGAUAUAUGCUAUUUCUGUGGAUACUAUGGAGGAUGGGCAGCUCCUGAUAACAUUCGUAUUGGAGGACUAUCAGGGAUCUUUAAGGCACACAAUUAUCAUUAGGGUCUUGAAGGUAUAGAUUUUGUUACUUGGUGUAACCAGCCCCUAGGUAUUAAAGUGAAAAAAGCCAAAUAGGUGUUUUAUGAGGGUUUGCCUUGUAACGAUAGAGAUAUCGAUCUAUACAUUAUGGACAGGAUAUGAUGUUCACAAGCUCAUGCAAAGUGACAAACCAAUUGAUAUAUUUCGUUUGGUAUGACUGGCCUACUGGUAUCACCGACCAUGGAGAUUGGAAGGUGCUUGUUCAAUGUAAACCGUUUUUCAAGGAAGAGGUUUGGAGGUUUGGUGGACUUGUGAUAGGAUCAUAGUCUGCUCGUACACUUUAUGUCGUCAAAGCUGAACACGUAUUUUAUGUUAAUCAACGACGUUGGGAGGGGUGACACAGGUGACUGGGGCUACAAAUGAACCGAGCCGUUUGUGAAUUGUUCGAGGCUCAACUCGCUUCAGAACAAAACAAAAGAGAAAAAAAUGCUUAGUCCUCUUCGUGCCUUGCUUCUGCUCGAACCAAUGGAUAUACACAGCUCGAGAGUUCUUGUUACUAUCCCUUCAUUAGGACCAAGAAAGCUGAGGAAGUCAAACAAAGUGUUGACAUACUUGUAAGGUGUUGUUUCCUUUGAUCAUGACAUUGAUGUGGAUAAAAUAGGACUUUCUGAAGUUGAUGAUGUGCAAGAGCAGGAGGAAAUUAUGCAGAGCAUCGGGGUAACAUUUUUCAGCUCAGUUCCUUAAUUUUGGGGGUGAACUCUUCGUGUUUCAGAGCUGGAAAGGAACUGAUCAUAGUUUAUAAAGAAUGUUAACUAAUUAAUGCAGAGGCAUGAUUCCUUCUGAUAUUCAAAAUUUUCCACCUUGGUAGCAAAGUUGAGUUACCUUUGUAUUGGCCCGGGCAUUUGGAAAAUGGGCAAAGAAACUGGAAACUGCGUAACCAUUAAGGCUCGAUUUGAGCCAGCCUUGGUCAGAUGAUUAACAAACUUUGAACUGUGUGACUGUCUAUUACCUCUAUCA
Rhododendron vialii is the source of this 2274-nucleotide long non-coding RNA. RefSeq lists it as uncharacterized. NCBI's taxonomy places the organism in Eukaryota, Viridiplantae, Streptophyta, Magnoliopsida, Ericales, Ericaceae. The transcript is spliced from 6 exons. The record is from RefSeq and is a predicted model, not a curated record.